Long non-coding RNA from Falco peregrinus (peregrine falcon), 1790 nucleotides. RefSeq lists it as uncharacterized. The transcript has 4 exons. The record is from RefSeq and is a predicted model, not a curated record. Lineage: Eukaryota; Metazoa; Chordata; Aves; Falconiformes; Falconidae.
CCCAUUUAAUGUCAUCCUCACUACUCAUCAAGAUCGAGUUGACAGUUGGACACCCAUCAUUAGAGGAGAUGGUGGUAAAGGUGGUGAAUUUAACCCGUUUCCUCUUAGAGCAUAUUAGACACUGAAGAAUCCACACCAGACAGACUCCUGGCUGGAUGAGCAGAUUCUUUGCUGUCUAAAAUAAGCUGGUAGGGCCACAUGUCGUGAACCAGAGUGGUAUCCUUCUACAACACAAUACAUGUGGGCAAUAAUACCUGCUUUGGAGACUGGAGCAGCUCUUGUGCUACUGCUGUAGCAAAGAUGGCCUUAUUGCUUCCUGGACUAAGCUGCAGGGAAAGCGACAAUCCAGUCACCAGCUGCACUCCCAGGCCAUCAUUUCUCUGCACUGCAAGAAGAACUAUAUGUGAAAAGCUGCCAGUGAGAUGAUGCAUAGGUUUAGGUGAGUGACUUCAGAGCGGGAACACUAAGGCACAGCCACAUAUACAGCGGCCAUAUUGGCUGAAACUAACGAAGCUAAAUCUGCACCCCUAGAGAACGUUGCUUAGUUGUCGCUAAUCAGUCAGUCUUCUAACAUCAUUCUGUAUGUGCCAAUUAUUAUUAUUGCUUUGUGCAUCUUCUGAAAUAUACCCUAACAUUUAUAUUUUCUAACAUGCUCCUUGAGCUUGCAAGGCAUGCAGGAGUUUGAUCCCAUGGGACUUAAGAUUCCAGCAACAGCUCCUCAAAAAAGCACUAGUUAAUUUUUACUUUACCCUUCGCUCUGUCAAUGUAGGCUUUGAGAAGACCAAGCUGUUUCACCAGCUGCAUGCCUUGUGAUAGCCCAUAUACUGGCUCAUGGUUCAAAAAAAGCCUUAGACAAAAACAAUCAGAAAAAGCCUUCAAGAUUACAGGUUGGACUAAAUUUCCUAAAACUGCAAUCUAUGUUACUUCAGGGCACAAGAUAAGAAGAAGAAACCAUCUCUUCUGUGUCUUCCAGUCCUUGCUGCAAUUCUGCUCCAUUCAAAAAUUGUAGCUCCAAUUUCUGUUGCUAAUGCAAGAAGCUGCUAUACACCUCAUCGAGUACCUCAGUACCCAAGGUAGUGAGUUAAUGGAGGAAAAGGAGUAAGUAAUUAAUUUUCCCUACCUGAAUCGUCGUCAUUCCGAGCUCCUGCCCAAUCAAAACCUGUCCAUCCUGCAGCUUAGCAAUUCUUGGCUCCUCCACCUGCAUGAAGUCACUCACCAGGUUGGUAAUGUCAAUCUGCCAGUCAGAACCCAGUAAAUAGCUCAGCUGGCCACCGGGGUCUGAGGCUUCAGCCACAAACUGUGUGAGGACUCGCACCAUUGCAUGUUGGUACUGAAGGGUACAGCCUCUUCCCUUACGUUCAUCCUCUUCUUCAUCAUCACUGUCCCUGGCUGGUCUGGUAGAACACCAAGAACAAAAAAAUUAAUUUAAACUGAUGCUGGGAGAGCUUGCAACAGGAGAGCUAUUGCUGAUGUAAGUCUGCAGCAUAGUUACUGGAACAAGGGGGCCUCUGCCCCCUUCUGUUGCUCUGCUGAUGCUGCUCCAUUCAGUGCAUUUCUGAAAUCAGUGGUGUUCCCCCAAUUCUAUCGUGUUUCCCUUGUCCAUAACUGAGACCCCCAGGCUGCUCAGAUGUCCAAAACAGCUGCUGAAAUCAUCAACUGCUAGCUUCUCUACCACAUUGUCCACUCCAAAUAUCGCUCAUUAUUUUUCACGUUAGUCCUUAUUUUGAAGGCCUUUUCUUUUCUUUGAAGACUUUUUUCUUUAUGGACCUUCUUUGUGUUGCCAUGGAAAU